Transfer RNA from Rachicladosporium sp. CCFEE 5018, 83 nucleotides. It matches the Rfam family "tRNA". Rfam says of the family: Transfer RNA (tRNA) molecules are approximately 80 nucleotides in length. The record is from Rfam. NCBI's taxonomy places the organism in Eukaryota, Fungi, Ascomycota, Dothideomycetes, Cladosporiales, Cladosporiaceae.
GCCCGCUUGGCUUAGUGGUACAGCGUGUCACUCGUAUUCUGCGAUAUAUGACAAGAUCAUUGGUUCGAUUCCAGUAGUGUACG